This 461-nucleotide ribosomal RNA is filed under the name uncultured bacterium. RNAcentral's name for it is "bacterial SSU rRNA". It matches the Rfam family "Bacterial small subunit ribosomal RNA", at positions 28 to 507 of the family's 1533-position model. The record is from RNAcentral.
GACGAACGCUGGCGGCGUGCCUAACACAUGCAAGUCGAACGGAAGUAAGACUCCGGUUUUACUUUAGUGGCGAACGGGUGAGUAACGCGUGAGAAACCUGCCUUUCAGUGGGGGACAACAGUUGGAAACGACUGCUAAUACCGCAUAAUGUACACGGAUCGCAUGAUCUGUGUACCAAAGCUUUAUGUGCUGAAAGAUGGUCUCGCGUCUGAUUAGCUAGUUGGUGGGGUAACGGCUCACCAAGGCGACGAUCAGUAGCCGGUCUGAGAGGAUGAACGGCCACAUUGGGACUGAGAUACGGCCCAGACUCCUACGGGAGGCAGCAGUGGGGAAUAUUGGGCAAUGGGGGAAACCCUGAUGCAGCGACGCCGCGUGAGUGAAGAAGUAUUUCGGUAUGUAAAGCUCUAUCAGCAGGGAAGAAAAUGACGGUACCUGACUAAGAAGCCCCGGCUAACUACGUG